RNAcentral lists this ribosomal RNA (467 nucleotides) under uncultured bacterium. RNAcentral describes it as "partial 16S ribosomal RNA". It matches the Rfam family "Bacterial small subunit ribosomal RNA", at positions 28 to 507 of the family's 1533-position model. The record is from RNAcentral.
GAUGAACGCUGGCGGCGUGCUUAACACAUGCAAGUCGAACGGAAAGGCCCAAGCUUGCUUGGGUACUCGAGUGGCGAACGGGUGAGUAGCACGUGGGUGAUCUGCCCUGCACUUCGGGAUAAGCCUGGGAAACUGGGUCUAAUACCGGAUAGGACCACUUCUUGGAUGUUGUGGUGGAAAGUUUUUUCGGUGUGGGAUGAGCUCGCGGCCUAUCAGCUUGUUGGUGGGGUAAUGGCCUACCAAGGCGUCGACGGGUAGCCGGCCUGAGAGGGUGUACGGCCACAUUGGGACUGAGAUACGGCCCAGACUCCUACGGGAGGCAGCAGUGGGGAAUAUUGCACAAUGGGCGCAAGCCUGAUGCAGCGACGCCGCGUGGGGGAUGACGGCCUUCGGGUUGUAAACGCCUUUCGCUAGGGACGAAGCGUUUUGUGACGGUACCUGGAGAAGAAGCACCGGCUAACUACGUG